UUGGAGGGCAAGUCUGGUGCCAGCAGCCGCGGUAAUUCCAGCUCCAAUAGCGUAUAUUAAAGUUGUUGCAGUUAAAAAGCUCGUAGUUGAAUUUCGAGACCGGCUUACUGGUCGUGCUAUUGUACGUACUGGUAUAAUCGGUUUCUCCUUUCUGACGAACUUUAAUGCCAUUAAUUUGGUGUUUUAGGGAAUCAGGACUGUUACUUUGAAAAAAUUAGAGUGUUUAAAGCAGGCUCACGCUUGAAUACAUUAGCAUGGAUAACGGAAUAGGACGUUUGAUUCUAUUUUGUUGGUUUCUAGGAUCGACGUAAUGAUUAAUAGGGAUAGUUGGGGGCAUUAGUAUUCAAUUGUCAGAGGUGAAAUUCUUGGAUUUAUUGAAGACUAACUACUGCGAAAGCAUUUGCCAAGGAUGUUUUCAUUAAUCAAGAACGAAAGUUAGGGGAUCGAAGACGAUCAGAUACCGUCGUAGUCUUAACCAUAAACUAUGCCGACUAGGGAUCGGAUAAUGUUAAUUUUUUAAUGACUCAUUCGGCGCCUUACGGGAAAC
This 547-nucleotide ribosomal RNA is filed under the name uncultured Glomus. RNAcentral's name for it is "SSU rRNA". It matches the Rfam family "Eukaryotic small subunit ribosomal RNA", at positions 548 to 1098 of the family's 1831-position model. The record is from RNAcentral. Lineage: Eukaryota; Fungi; Glomeromycota; Glomeromycetes; Glomerales; Glomeraceae.